AUGGGGGGAACCCUGAUCCAGCCAUGCCGCGUGUGUGAAGAAGGCCUUAUGGUUGUAAAGCACUUUAAGCGAGGAGGAGGCUACUUUAGUUAAUACCUAGAGAUAGUGGACGUUACUCGCAGAAUAAGCACCGGCUAACUCUGUGCCAGCAGCCGCGGUAAUACAGAGGGUGCGAGCGUUAAUCGGAUUUACUGGGCGUAAAGCGUGCGUAGGCGGCUUAUUAAGUCGGAUGUGAAAUCCUGUAAUCCA
RNAcentral lists this ribosomal RNA (249 nucleotides) under uncultured archaeon. RNAcentral's name for it is "partial 16S ribosomal RNA". It matches the Rfam family "Bacterial small subunit ribosomal RNA", at positions 371 to 611 of the family's 1533-position model. The record is from RNAcentral.